UAAGAUUUUAUUUAUUAAUUUUAUUAGUUAAUUAAUUUAAUUUAUUAAAAAUAAUUAUAAAAUGAAGUGUUUUAGUAUUGUAUAAAGAAUAAAUAAUUUUUAUAAUAGUUUAUUAUGUAAUGUAAAUGAAUAUUGAAAUAUUAUUGAAAAAUUAUUUUUAUAAAAGAAAAUUUGAUUUAUUGUACCUUUUGUAUCAGGGUUUAUCAAAUAAAAAAUAUUUACUAUAUUUUUCUCGAUUUAAAAAGAGCUAAUAAAUUAUUAAAGUUAUUGUGUUAAAAUUAUUUUCAAUAGUUUAUUAGAAGUGAAAUGUUAUUCGGUUUUUAAGGUAUCUAGUUUUUUAAGAAAUAAAUUUAAUUUAUAUUUUGUAGAAGUUAUUUGUUUAAUUUUUUAAUCAAAUAAUUUAUAAAAUAAAUAUUUUAUGGGAUAAGCUGUAAAAUAUAAUUUUAAAAAUAAUAAAUAAAGCGUAUAAAAUAUAUGCUUAAAAAUUGCAAUUAUUGAAAAGUAUGUUAUAAUUUAUUUUAUAAUAAAAUUAUUUAUUAAUAUUUUAAAUUUUUUAUUAAAAUUUUUAUUUUAAUUAUAAAAAUAAAGUAAUAAUGAUAGAAUUAGUAUAUAAUUAAUGUAAAAAUAUAAUUAAGUGAUAAGUUUAAAUAAAGAAUUCGGCAAAAAUUAAUAUUCGCUUGUUUAACAAAAACAUGUCUUUUAGAAUUGAAUUUAAAGUCUGACCUGCCCACUGAUAAUUAUUAAAUGGCCGCAGUAUCCUAACUGUGCAAAGGUAGCAUAAUCAUUAGUCUUUUAAUUGAAGGCUUGUAUGAAUGGUUGGACGAAAUAUUAACUGUUUCAUUUAAAAUUUUUAUAGAAUUUUAUUUUUUAGUCAAAAAGCUAAAAUUUUAUUAAAAGACGAGAAGACCCUAUAAAUCUUAAUACUUAUAUUAUUUUAAUUAUAAAGAUUUAUUAAAUUAUAAUUUUUAUGGGUAUUUUAUUGGGGUGAUAUUAAAAUUUAAUAAACUUUUAAUUUUUAAAUAACAUUAAUUUAUGAAUAAUUGAUCCAUUAAUAAUGAUUAAAAAUUUAAGUUACUUUAGGGAUAACAGCGUAAUUUUUUUGGAGAGUUCAUAUUGAUAAAAAAGAUUGCGACCUCGAUGUUGGAUUAAGAGAUAUUUUUGGGUGCAGCAGCUCAAAGGUUAAGUCUGUUCGACUUUUAAAUUCUUACAUGAUCUGAGUUCAAACCGGCGUAAGCCAGGUUGGUUUCUAUCUUUAAUUAAUUAAAAUAUUUUAGUACGAAAGGACCAAAUAUUAAAAAAAUAAUUUUUUUAUAAUUAGAAUAUAAUUAAAUUUUA
Molecule: ribosomal RNA, 1335 nt
Filed under: Platypeza sp. XL-2018
Lineage: Eukaryota; Metazoa; Arthropoda; Insecta; Diptera; Platypezidae
Description: 16S ribosomal RNA
Rfam family: Archaeal large subunit ribosomal RNA (bases 1082-1241)
Source: RNAcentral